GGAGCCGCUACAGGCUCUCAUGCCUCAGCCGGAUCGCCAGGCUCCCCUGCCUCAGCCAGCUCCCCUGCCUCAGCCAGCUCGUCGGGCUUUCAUGCCUCAGCCGGAUCGCCAGGCUCCCCUGCCUCAGCCAGCUCGUCGGGCUUUCAUGCCUCUGCCGGAUCGCCAGGCUCCCCUGCCUCAGCCAGCUCGUCGGGCUUUCAUGCCUCUGCCGGAUCGCCAGGCUCCCCUACGUCGGGGAGGGGGUACUGUCACGUAUACUCCCUCUCCGGCCUCUAGGUCAUCAGGCUGUUAAUUAUCCCGCACACCUGUCACCAUUGUCAAGCGCCUCAUGACACCCACCUGGACUCACCUCCUUGAUUAUCUUCCCUAUAUCUGUCACUCUCCUUGGUUCUUUCCUCGGGUGUUGUUGACUCUGCUUCAUGCCGGUGCGUUGUUUGUGUUUGGUGUUUGUUUUGUUUAUACAGUUGAAGUCGGAAGUUUACAUACACUUAGGUUGGAGUCAUUAAAACUUGUUUUUCAACCACUCCACAAAUUUUUUGUUAACAAACUAUAGUUUUGACAAGUCAGGUAGGACAUCUACUUUGUGCAUGACAAAAGUAAUUUGUCCCCAAAUUGUUGACAGACAGAUUAUUUCACUUAUGAUUCACUGUAUCACAAUUCCAGUGAGUCAGAAGUUCACAUACACUAAGUUGACUGUGCCUUUAAACAGCUUGGAAAAUUCCAGAAAAUUAUGUCAUGGCUUUCGUAGGCUAAUUGACAUCAUUUGAGUCAAUUGGAGGUGUACCUGUGGAUGCAAUUUACAAAUGCCUGAAGGUACCACGUUCAUCUGUACAAACAAUAGUAAGCAAGUAUAAACACCAUGGGACCACGCAGCCGUCAUACCGCUCAAGAAGGAGACACAUUCUGUCUCGUAGAGAUGAAAGUACUUUUGUGCGAAAAGUGCAAAUCAAUCCCAGAACAACAGCAAAGGACCUUGUGAAGAUGCUGGAGGAAACAGGUACAAAAGUAUAUAUCCACAGUAAAACAAGUCUUAUAUCAACAUAACCUGAAAGGCCGCUCAGCAGGGAAGAAGCCACUGCUCCAAAAGCCAGACUAAUGUUUUGCAACUGCACAUGGUGACAAAGAUUGUACUUUUUGGAGAAAUGUCCUCUGGUCAAGCCAAACAAAUGAAACUGUUUGGCCAUAAUGACCAUUGUUAUGUUUGGAGGAAAAAGACGAAGAACACCAUCCCAACCGUGAAGCACAGGGGUGGCAGCAUCAUGUUGUGGGGCUGCUUUGCUGAACGAGGGACUGGUGCACUUCACAAAAUAGAUGGCAUCAUGAGGGAGAGAAAUUAUGGAAGAUCACGUGACCGUCCCUCUGCUCUCGUGUCCCUCCAGGACACCUACACCACCCGAUGUUACAGGAAGGCCAUAAAGAUCAUCAAGGACAUCAACCACCCGAGCCACUGCCUGUUCACCCCGCUAUCAUCCAGAAGGCGAGGUCAGUACAGGUGCAUCAAAGCUGGGACCGA
Molecule: long non-coding RNA, 1513 nt
Organism: Oncorhynchus tshawytscha (Chinook salmon)
Lineage: Eukaryota; Metazoa; Chordata; Actinopteri; Salmoniformes; Salmonidae
Source: Ensembl